This is a long non-coding RNA of Scatophagus argus, 776 nucleotides long. RefSeq lists it as uncharacterized. The record is from RefSeq and is a predicted model, not a curated record. NCBI's taxonomy places the organism in Eukaryota, Metazoa, Chordata, Actinopteri, Scatophagidae. The transcript has 3 exons.
ACCAUCUCCGAGGCCGAAAUCCCGAGGUGGCAGCGCGCGCACCUCUGCACGGAGAACCUUCUGGAACAGAUAAAUCGUCAGGACUCCCCGUAACACAGAGGACAACAUGUGGGGACAAACGCGAGGACAGGAGCGCCGGGCGAGUUUUGCCGAAACUCAGGGCUUCCUUGGUGCUUGGAGGUCAGGUUGGGACUGCCUGGAUUUGAGAGCCGCGUCCUAUUUGUGAAGAGCCCGCAAAGCCUGCCCAGUCUGAAUAAUUUGGAGAUUUGAUCUGAUGAUGGAUGGAAACUGGAUCAUAAACACAUUUCAUCUUAAAGGCGAAUGCAACGAAAUGACAUCCAGCUGGUGGUCACCACAGAGAAACCACCACCAGUCAGGCUCUGUUUUCACAGAUUCCCGUGUUAUGUUAGUCCCAAUAUAUUCUUGACUUAAUGCGACUGUGGAGCUAUAAAGAUCCGUGUCAGCUUUAAAGGGUGUGAAAACUCUGUCACGCAAAUAAAAAAAAAUAAAUAAUAAGAAAAAAAGAUUUAAGUAAGAAAAAAAGGCAGACAUGGCUGGCUUUGCUGUCCAGUGCACGGGCCAAAUAUGGUGACAACAAACCAAAAUGAGGCAGCUCAAGGUCUGUAUUUUGACUAACACAGCACAGGCCUUUACGGCUGAGAUCCGGGUAACGAGCUAUGGGCUCUGCAAGGUCGACCACUGCACGUUUCUCCAUAAAACAAUGGAUGCUGGCCGAAAGAGGGACUUGGAUUUGGUCCCAUUAAUAGAUUUACUGA